AAUAAUAACAAAAAAAAGAGGGAGAGAGUGGGUGAUUUCCGACCACCGUCCGGUCACCGAACCGCCGCCGGCCGCUGUCAGUGCCACCGUACAUGGCAGCUGGACCUCAAAAAAACUUUUUCGGUAAAAAUGAGAAACCUUCCUCCUUUUAUUUUUACUUUCGUAUAAAAGAAACAAAAUAAAACUGAAAGGAAAACAAUAAGCAAACAAAGAACUUAAAACGAGAAUAGACCAAGAAACCUCUUUUGCUUUGAUAUUUGAUUAAUCUCCAAAAAAAAACUAGUCUCUCCAAAAACUAGCCUUUACAAUAACUCUUCUUCUUGAUAACUCUAAAAAAAACCUCUUAAAAAUCCUUUACAAUAACUUUCUCCCUCAAAACUUCUUCCCCUAAAUACAAAAUAUGAGAAGGCUUAUAUAGCCAUUUACCAAAUAUUUUUUAUUGUUUAUGUCCUCAUUUGUAGUUACAAGUGGUGGUAAAGCAAGUGUGGCUAAUGGAGUAGGUGGUGGAGCAAGUGUGGGUAGUGAAAUAGGUGGUAGAGCAAGUGUGGCUAGUGGAGUUGGUGGUGGCAAAAGAUAGGAUUUAGUUGAGAAAAAUUUAGGUUGUGGGCUGGGGUUUUUUUAUUUUGAUUUGGGCUUAGGGUUUGGGCCAUUGGGAUUUUGAUGUAAAUUGGGCUUUGAGUAGUUAAGAUUUUGGGUUUUGGGUUUAAUUUUGAUGGGUUAGGUAAGGGUAAAUUGGAUUUUGAUGUAAAUGAGUUUAAAUUGGCCUACAACAUCUAUAUUACAGAAGAAUGAUGGCGUCCGCAACUUACCGAAGGUGCCCAAACAGGACGGAAAUGAAGGAGCAUGUUUUUAGGGAGUGUCCUAUUGCAAAUGAGACAUGGGAAAAGUUAGGCUUUAACUGGCCUACUUUUGGGGAAAGUACUGGUUUUAAAGAUUGGCUUAAAUGUAUUUUUGAGUUAAACUCUUUGAACAAGUGUAGGGUGAUUGCAUUUGCUAUGUGGGUGAUCUAGACAUCAAGAAACAGGUUUAUUCAUGAAGGUUAAGAACAAUCUGGGACUCAAAUGGCAGAUUUCAUAACAAACUACAUCAAAGAACUUGAUGGGUUGAGUAUGCGCUUACCAGUGAAUGGUUUCAGACGGGUAGAUGGGUCGUGCCGACUAACCCGUAGGUUAGAAUCAACUUUGAUGCUGCUUUUAAUAAGGAGAAGAAUGAGUCAUGCUCGGGGUUAGUAAUACGGAAUGCUAGGGCAGAGGUGAUUUGCUCAAAAUCAGUUAUUCAUAAGAAUAUACCUUCUGCUUUUGCUGCGGAAGUGAUGGCAUAUCUCCAGGCGGUCCAUCUUGGGUUAUCUCUUGAGUUGAGAGAGGUUGAGAUUAAAGGUGACUCGCGAUCGGUGAUUCAGAAACUGCAAAAAGGAAAGGAAGACAGAUCAGAAAUCGAAGUUUUCAUUAAAGAUUCAAAGUAUCUGAGCCUUGGCUUUGAAUCCUGUAUUUUUCGGUGUAUCCCUAGAGAAUCUAAUAAAAUUGCUCAUUUCAUAGCGAAAGAGGGAUUAUAGAAGAACGAAUCAACUUAUCUGCUGGGCAUGGUUUUGAUUGGAGCGGAGGAAGCUAUGGUGGCCGAUCAAAGUUGGAGGGUUUCUUUGGGGGACUGAAUCGUUGGAUUUGCUGUUGGAAAGAUUUAGGAUGAAGUUUGAAAAGCCAGGAUGAUUUGUGAUGUUUAGAAGUUUUUCUGUGGAAAUGAUGGCUCUUGCUGAGAAUUAAAGAAAGCACAUCGAUUCACAGGUGGCUUUGUUGCUUUUGAGGGAUAGGUUUAUUAAAUGGUUUACAGCUGGCUAAAGAAGUCUCUAGAGCUACCCGUCUUGCUUUGCUGGAUCUUUUGUUGUUUUAUUUUGUUUCUGUUUUUUGGCCCGGGAUUGUUCGGCUUGGUUUUGGGAUAUUUGUUUUGGAUUUGUUUUGUCUUAUUGAAUAUAAGAUCUAGAUGUUUUACUCAAAAAAAUAAUUUUUUGAGAGAUAUAUUAUAUAUUUAAAAUUUUUUAA
This 2033-nucleotide long non-coding RNA is filed under the name Gossypium barbadense (sea-island cotton). RNAcentral describes it as "long non-coding RNA (GBAR_LNC000882)". Lineage: Eukaryota; Viridiplantae; Streptophyta; Magnoliopsida; Malvales; Malvaceae. The record is from RNAcentral.